CGCUGGUGGCUUCGCAAUUGUACUCUGUGAACCCCGCCAGGACCGGGAAGGUAGCAACGGUAGCAGAUCUAUGAUGUGCCGAAGUUUUGCUAGUGGGG
Molecule: signal recognition particle RNA, 98 nt
Filed under: Acinetobacter pittii
Lineage: Bacteria; Pseudomonadati; Pseudomonadota; Gammaproteobacteria; Moraxellales; Moraxellaceae
Description: signal recognition particle sRNA small type
Rfam family: Bacterial small signal recognition particle RNA
About the family: The signal recognition particle (SRP) is a universally conserved ribonucleoprotein involved in the co-translational targeting of proteins to membranes. Archaeal SRP consists of a 7S RNA and homologues of the eukaryotic SRP19 and SRP54 proteins. In most bacteria, the SRP consists of a 4.5S RNA and the Ffh protein (a homologue of the eukaryotic SRP54 protein).
Source: RNAcentral